Molecule: long non-coding RNA, 636 nt
Organism: Mastomys coucha (southern multimammate mouse)
Lineage: Eukaryota; Metazoa; Chordata; Mammalia; Rodentia; Muridae
Exons: 2
Source: RefSeq, a predicted model, not a curated record
GUGACGUCAAGACUAACAUUUCAAAAAAGUCAGAGAGAAUUAGUCAGCCCAUGCCCCGUCCCUACAGAAGAGAAAACAUAAGUACAAAAAUUUCCUCUGGGCUCUGUGAGUUCUUGUGGCUCCACUCCCCGCCUGUUAAGUUGCCGAUCGGAGACACCGUCUCCCCUUCGUGAGAAGUGGAAGAGAAUGGUUUUCUGAAAGCAAUAGGACUGAAGAUGUUAAAACUGAAUUUCUGACUGUCCAGGAGGAACCGGCAUGGAACCAGCAUGGUGUUUCCUGCUGCCCUCUUCACACUUGCCAGCCAAUGCUCUGUUACUUCAGGAUGGGAGUGAGUUUCAAGAGUAACUGGAGGGCUUGUUUCCUGAGUCAUCUUCUUGUGAGCCCAUGCUCUGUGAAGGAGAAAGCAAAGUGGUGUGUUUGUGAUCAACACCAUCAAGAGGACUCUUGUGAAAGCAGCAUGCCAGCUACCCAGCCUGUCUCUGCAGGAACCACAAAAUAACCACAGGCAACCUGGGCCUUCCCUAAGCAUACGUAGAGGCAGUUCCUGAACAUAUUUUAAAAGGUUUUUCUGUGAAUUUAUAGGUCCUGGUUUUCAAGAACAAUGGAGCAACUUUACACUUAAAAAAAUGAAACCAA